CCUACGGGAGGCAGCAGUGAGGAAUAUUGGUCAAUGGGCGCGAGCCUGAACCAGCCAAGUAGCGUGAAGGAUGACUGCCCUACGGGUUGUAAACUUCUUUUAUAAAGGAAUAAAGUGAGGCACGUGUGCCUUUUUGUAUGUACUUUAUGAUUAAGGAUCGGCUAACUCUGUGCCAGCAGCAGCGGUAAUACGGAGGAUCCGAGCGUUAUCCGGAUUUAUUGGGUUUAAAGGGAGCGUAGAUGGGUUGGUAAGUCAGUUGUGAAAGUUUGCGGCUCAACCGUAAAAUUGCAAUUGAUACUGGCAGACUUGAGUACAGUUGAGGUGGGCGGAAUUCGUGGUGUAGCGGUGAAAUGCUUAGAUAUCACGAAGAACUCCGAUUGCGAAGGCAGCUUACUAAACUGCCACUGACAUUGAUGCUCGAAAGUGUGGGUAUCAAACAGGAUUAGAUACCCUUGUAGUC
RNAcentral lists this ribosomal RNA (460 nucleotides) under uncultured bacterium. RNAcentral describes it as "partial 16S ribosomal RNA". It matches the Rfam family "Bacterial small subunit ribosomal RNA", at positions 338 to 795 of the family's 1533-position model. The record is from RNAcentral.